Molecule: ribosomal RNA, 552 nt
Filed under: uncultured bacterium
Lineage: Bacteria
Description: bacterial SSU rRNA
Rfam family: Bacterial small subunit ribosomal RNA
Source: RNAcentral
UAGGGAAUCUUCGGCAAUGGACGGAANUUUGGACCGAGCAACGCCGGCGUGAGUGAAGAAGGUUUUCGGAUCGUAAAGCUCUGUUGUAAGAGAAGAACGAGUGUGAGAGUGGAAAGUUCACACUGUGACGGUAUCUUACCAGAAAGGGACGGCUAACUACGUGCCAGCAGCCGCGGUAAUACGUAGGUCCCGAGCGUUGUCCGGAUUUAUUGGGCGUAAAGCGAGCGCAGGCGGUUAGAUAAGUCUGAAGUUAAAGGCUGUGGCUUAACCAUAGUAGGCUUUGGAAACUGUUUAACUUGAGUGCAAGAGGGGAGAGUGGAAUUCCAUGUGUAGCGGUGAAAUGCGUAGAUAUAUGGAGGAACACCGGUGGCGAAAGCGGCUCUCUGGCUUGUAACUGACGCUGAGGCUCGAAAGCGUGGGGAGCAAACAGGAUUAGAUACCCUGGUAGUCCACGCUGUAAACGAUGAGUGCUAGGUGUUAGACCCUUUCCGGGGUUUAGUGCCGUAGCUAACGCAUUAAGCACUCCGCCUGGGGAGUACGACCGCAAGGUGG